RNAcentral lists this unclassified non-coding RNA (236 nucleotides) under fungal sp. RNAcentral's name for it is "partial internal transcribed spacer region". The stretch from base 1 to 46 matches the Rfam family "Eukaryotic small subunit ribosomal RNA", at positions 1786 to 1831 of the family's 1831-position model. The record is from RNAcentral. Lineage: Eukaryota; Fungi.
AAGUCGUAACAAGGUUUCCGUAGGUGAACCUGCGGAAGGAUCAUUAUUGAGUUUGCGCGGCCGUUGCUGGUUCUUACAAGUGCACGCCGUGUCUUUCUUUAUCCACCCCACUGUGCAUCUGGACGCGCCUUUGCGCGCGGUCCAAACCUUUUACAUUACAAAACCGUCUUGUACGAGUAGAACGCGCUCUUUGAGUAAUAAAAUACAACUAUCAACAACGGAUCUCUUGGCAUCCC